This 492-nucleotide ribosomal RNA is filed under the name uncultured bacterium. Its description in RNAcentral is "partial 16S ribosomal RNA". It matches the Rfam family "Bacterial small subunit ribosomal RNA", at positions 29 to 507 of the family's 1533-position model. The record is from RNAcentral.
AGUGAACGCUGGCGGUAGGCCUAACACAUGCAAGUCGAACGGCAGCACAGUAAGAGCUUGCUCUUACGGGUGGCGAGUGGCGGACGGGUGAGGAAUACAUCGGAAUCUACUUUUUCGUGGGGGAUAACGUAGGGAAACUUACGCUAAUACCGCAUACGACCUACGGGUGAAAGCAUGGGAUCUUCGGACCUUGCGCGAUUGAAUGAGCCGAUGUCGGAUUAGCUAGUUGGCGGGGUAAAGGCCCACCAAGGCGACGAUCCGUAGCUGGUCUGAGAGGAUGAUCAGCCACACUGGAACUGAGACACGGUCCAGACCCCUACGGGAGGCAGCAGUGGGGAAUAUUGGACAAUGGGCGCAAGCCUGAUCCAGCCAUACCGCGUGGGUGAAGAAGGCCUUCGGGUUGUAAAGCCCUUUUGUUGGGAAAGAAAAGCAGCAGGUUAAUACCCCGCUGUUCUGACGGUACCCAAAGAAUAAGCACCGGCUAACUUCGUG